UGUUGUAUGUAUUAGAUUUAAAACCAAUGCCCUUCGGGGCUCCUUGGUGAUUCAUAAUAACUUUUCGAAUCGCAUGGCCUUGCGCCGGCGAUGGUUCAUUCAAAUUUCUGCCCUAUCAACUUUCGAUGGCAGGGUCUUGGCCUGCCAUGGUUACAACGGGUAACGGAGGGUUAGGGCUCGACCCCGGAGAAGGAGCCUGAGAAACGGCUACUACAUCCAAGGAAGGCAGCAGGCGCGCAAAUUACCCAAUCCCGAUUCGGGGAGGUAGUGACAAUAAAUACUGAUACAGGGCUCUUUCGGGUCUUGUAAUUGGAAUGAGUACAAUUUAAAUCCCUUAACGAGGAACAAUUGGAGGGCAAGUCUGGUGCCAGCAGCCGCGGUAAUUCCAGCUCCAAUAGCGUAUAUUAAAGUUGUUGCAGUUAAAAAGCUCGUAGUUGAACCUUGGGCCUGGCUGGCCGGUCCGACUCACCGCGUGCACUGUUCGGCCGGGGCCUUUCCCUCUGGGGGAUCCCCCAAUGCCCUUUCACUGGNGUUGUUGGUGGGGGAACCAGGACUUUUA
RNAcentral lists this ribosomal RNA (559 nucleotides) under Sordariomycetes sp. HyV. RNAcentral describes it as "SSU rRNA". It matches the Rfam family "Eukaryotic small subunit ribosomal RNA", at positions 199 to 754 of the family's 1831-position model. The record is from RNAcentral. Lineage: Eukaryota; Fungi; Ascomycota; Sordariomycetes.